AACGAACGCUGGCGGCAGGCUUAACACAUGCAAGUCGAACGCCCGUAGCAAUACGGGAGUGGCGGACGGGUGAGUAACGCGUGGGAACGUACCCUGAGGUACGGAAUAACCGAGGGAAACUUCGGCUAAUACCGUAUGAGCCCCGCAAGGGGGAAAGAUUUAUCGCCUUGGGAGCGGCCCGCGUCGGAUUAGCUAGUUGGUGGGGUAACGGCCUACCAAGGCUUCGAUCCGUAGCUGGUCUGAGAGGACGAUCAGCCACACUGGGACUGAGACACGGCCCAGACUCCUACGGGAGGCAGCAGUGGGGAAUCUUGCGCAAUGGGGGCAACCCUGACGCAGCCAUGCCGCGUGAACGAUGAAGGCCUUAGGGUUUAAAGUUCUUUUACCCGUGACGAUGAUGACGGUAACGGGGGAAUAAGCUCCGGCUAACUUCGUG
Molecule: ribosomal RNA, 436 nt
Filed under: uncultured bacterium
Lineage: Bacteria
Description: bacterial SSU rRNA
Rfam family: Bacterial small subunit ribosomal RNA
Source: RNAcentral